UUGCACGCUGGCGGCAGGCCUAACACAUGCCAGUCGAACGGUAACAGGAAGAAGCUUGCUUCUUUGCUGACGAGUGGCGGACGGGUGAGUAAUGUCUGGGAAACUGCCUGAUGGAGGGGGAUAACUACUGGAAACGGUAGCUAAUACCGCAUAACGUCGCAAGACCAAAGAGGGGGACCUUCGGGCCUCUUGCCAUCGGAUGUGCCCAGAUGGGAUUAGCUAGUAGGUGGGGUAACGGCUCACCUAGGCGACGAUCCCUAGCUGGUCUGAGAGGAUGACCAGCCACACUGGAACUGAGACACGGUCCAGACUCCUACGGGAGGCAGCAGUGGGGAAUAUUGCACAAUGGGCGCAAGCCUGAUGCAGCCAUGCCGCGUGUAUGAAGAAGGCCUUCGGGUUGUAAAGUACUUUCAGCGGGGAGGAAGGGAGUAAAGUUAAUACCUUUGCUCAUUGACGUUACCCGCAGAAGAAGCACCGGCUAACUCCGUG
RNAcentral lists this ribosomal RNA (489 nucleotides) under uncultured bacterium. Its description in RNAcentral is "partial 16S ribosomal RNA". It matches the Rfam family "Bacterial small subunit ribosomal RNA", at positions 30 to 507 of the family's 1533-position model. The record is from RNAcentral.